AAGCGGGUGGGCGGGGGCGGCGAGCGCCCCGGGACGGGCUCGGCCGGGCCGGCGCCGCGCCCCUGCGUGCGCACACUGGGCGGAGGCAGAGGGGCGGCACCCCCUCCCCGGACCGAGCGGGGGUCCUAGACAGGCCGCGGGCGGGGAGCGGGGGCGCGGCGCCCUCGCGGGCAGGAGAGUGACACGAUCAUCUCCUUUUCCUUUAAGCUUGCCUGUUGCCGACGCCGCCGCUCCAGCCGCGCCUCGGGCAGAAGACUGGACCGCUGAGCCCCGGGCCGCGGCGGCGGCCGAGAGCCCCACGGAUGCCGUGACCCCCUGCCCGGGGGCGGGGGACGGGGCCAGACCGGCCGGGGCCGCUCCCGCGCCCCUCCUCCCACCUCUCUGCCCUCCUCCUUCCCCUCUCCCCGCCCCCCGGCCCCGAACCCCGCGCACCUCGUCUGGGGACGGGGCGGGGGGGGGGCAGGGCCGCCGUUGCUCCCCGCCCCCUCCUCCUCGGGCCUCGGGAGCGAUUUGUCAAACUUCCCAUUCCGCCGGCAGCGCGAUCCUCUCCUCCUCCUCCUCCUUCCCCACCUCCUCCUCCCCCCGCGCUCCUCCCUCCCCGCGCCUCCCUUGCUCGCCCUCCUCCUUCCCUCCGCACGUUCGGGGAUCGCGGCGGAGCGCGGAGAGGGGGGACGCGGAGAGCCGGCGCGCAGCAGCAUCCUGCGGGCGGCCGCUCUCCGGGGGGGAGGCUGAGGGCCGGCCCGCCUCACCCCCCGUGCGCCCGCCGCCCCUCCCUCCCUCUCCUCAGCCCGGCGGCGGCGGCGGCGGCGGCGGCAGCAGUCGCCGGAGGAGCAUCAUGCCGAGGAGGAAGCAGCAGGCGCCCCGGCGCGCAGCAGAUAUGGAAGGAGAAAGAAACUUUCUGCUAAAGGCAAGUGGACCGAUUACUUAUAAUUCAACUGGCCAUUCUUUGAAGAAGACAUUUUUGGAACUUCUAUCUUGGCACCACCUAAUUACGCAGACAAGUGGAGCAUUGAUGGCUAGACUAGGAAGUGAGUUUCUGCAGGUUGGGAUCAACCUGAGGCACGUUAGUGCUGCUGCUGGCUAUCAGCCUGGGCUGGCCUUUGAGAGCCUGUCCCUGGCCUGCCAGAGGCCCUGAUGUGGCCGACAGCCUCCCACCACCAGCCCCUUUCAUAGCUGAUGGCAUUUGCAAGCAUCCAGGCCCUUCCAGUUCAUUAAACCCCAAGAACAACUUGGGGAUGCAGGUGGUCUUUCCCUGAGGUGUAGACUGAGUGAGUUAUUUGAGCCUUCUCACUUUUCAGCAAGGUGCGUUGGUACUGAGUGGGUCUUGUGUAAAUGAAAUCUAGCUGGGGUCCUGGGUAAAAGUUAUAUUUCUUCCAACAGAGUUUAUAGCAACGUUUUUCUUAAUUAUUCUUGAUGUUUUGCCCAUUAUGCCAUUAGCUUCUUCAGAGGACAGAGAUAAAUAGCUGGUACCCACAAGAACAAAGUGUGAACUGAAUGCAUUCAAUUAUUGAUAUCUCAGUAACUAAAGGUUCUAAAAUGAUGUUGUCAAAUGCCUUAGUGAUCUGACAGCAGAUGUAUUGGUUUGCAGAUGCAACUGGAGACACUAUCCAAAUAAACUCUAGAAAGGGAGAACAUUAAACAAAUAAGAGAAUAUAGUAGUUCAUUUUCUCAUUUCUUUUUUUCUCCAGCAUAAUUAGUUUCAUUAGGUAAUAUGCAGGAUAUUUUUUUCAAUAUGUGAUAAGAUACAGAUUGCAUGUAUACUACUGUCUUUAAGUAAAAAUGUCUGGCUCUAUCACAUAGAUAGUCAUGUGUAUAUAUAUUUAUGUACAUAUAUAGGUAUUUAUACAUGUUUGUAGGUACAUGGAUAUGUGUGCAUGUUUGUAUAUGUAUGUGCACAUGUAUUUAUAUAUAUAGUAUGUAUGUGUAUAACCUGGUUGAAAUCAAUGUUUUCACAGUCUUAUUCUUAACAAAGGGAAUUUUAAAACUAGCCUCAUGCAUGUUUUCUAACAGAAUAAGCAGAAUGUUAACAAAUUACAUUUCUUUCUCUCCCAUUAGCUACCAAGUCCUUAUCAUAUGUAUUAAAGUAAUGAUGUCAGGUAUUUAUCCUGACAUGUUAAUAUAACUUCUCAUAUUUUCAAUUAUCUCAGUUUUUUAUUUUACUAUCUUUAAAAUGUGAAGUAUGAUUUCCAGGGUUUAACACAUGUAUUGAACUCCAUUGCUGUUGGGCAGACAUGCACCAAUAGCCCAUAGGCUCAAUGUCUGGAACCCUAAGUCCGGUGUCAGGAAAGAAAGGAACUGUAUGAAUAUGUCAAACGUUGUCAAUAUUUUUUUUUUGAGUGUGAUAUAUUUAUGAUAAUGAUAUAUUUUUUCUUGUGGCUUUUUACUCACUUGCUCUUUCUUUUAAGAGAAAGCUGAUACCUUUCAGCAGUCUGGUUGAGUGCUCUAAGGAGAAAGCCCACAUUCUGGGCUGGUCACCCCCCACCUGGAUACCUUCUCCCCGUUCCUCACGUGAGGUGGGCUGUAAUUCUUCCCUGGAGUGUCCUCCCAUGUGCACUGGUCCAUACUCAUGGCUGCGUGAGAUUCUGGGAGAAGAUUUAUUUGCUACUGCACAGAUGUUUACAGCUACAAACAUGUUGCCUUUACGGCUGCUUACUUGGAAAUGAAAUACUGAGUCUCCAUAAGAUACUUGCCCCACAUCCUGAGGAUUGCAGUUCCAUGAGAAAGUGUCUUAGAGUGACAUAUCACGAGAGGUAAGCACCACCCUCAUUCUGAAGCAGCUGGGUGUGGGCGUGCAUGUGUACACACACACAUAAACACACAUGCACACACACACAUGCACUAGGCUUCUGCAUGUACAGGGUUGUUCCACAGAAGCUAUAGAUAUAGAGCUGUGAAAGGUUGACAGUAGCCUUCCCUCGUGAAAAUAAAUGCAUUUUAAUUUUUUGUAUUAGAAAAGCAAUAAUGCACAUAAUACAAAUCCAAGAGAACCAAAGGGCAAACAAUUAAAAGAGAGUUCCCCUCCCUAGGGGCAAGCACUGUAACUAUUUUAUGGUAUAUCCUUGCAGAUUUUUAAAAUCAUGAAUAUACAUAUAUACUGUAUAUUGUACCUUUCUGUUUACAAUUAAAAUAUAUUUUAGAUAUCUGCAACUUACUUUGAUGUGCAUCCAGAUGUUAAGAUAUGCAGAUGGAUGGAUAGACCCAAAUAUUAUAAAGCAAGUAAAGUGUUAAAGUUAGAAUCUAGGUGAUGGAUAGGUAUAAAGUAAAAUUCUUUAAACUUUGCUGUAUGAAUUAAAGCUUUCAUAAUAAAAUGGUGGCAAAAUGUCUAUGUCAGUGACCAUCUUAUAUCUUGUUAUAUUAUGUGCCUUACAUUAUUUUAUAUUAUAUUAUGUUACAUAGAGCUACCUCUUGCUUUUUAAGAGUGGCGUAUUUCUCCAAGGGAACAAGUUUCCCCCUGGAUGGGCAUUUAGAUCGCUCUGAGUAUUUUCUUGUGCGCACAGUGCCACAAUGAACAUCCUUCUGCAUACAUCUUUUUACAGUAAUAUCCUUUCACUUAUAUCUUUGUGGGGUAUAUCCCUAAAAGCAGAAUUUUCAGCUGCAAGGUUAUGUUCAGUUAACAAAAUGAUAAAUAUCCAAAUUGUUCUCCUAAGAUUGCACGAACUUCCCUUCACACAGCAACGUGGGAGUGUGCUCAUGACGUUAACUGGCUGUCAGAGCUUAGGUAAUACAGAAUUAUAGUCAGAAACUCCCUCCUCUUGCUUAGCAAGGGCUCAGCAUGUCUCUGUGCAUCUGAAAAAGGACACAAAUGUCUAAGUGUAUCAAUCUCCAUAUUAAUCUCAAACUUGUUUGCCUUUUUUAUUUAUAUAUGUUAUUUAUCUCUGGAUGACAGAAAAUAGAUGUCAAGUUCUUAGGAUCAGAGACCUUUAGAUUCAGCUAGACUGACAGCCUCAUUUGAGGGACAAGAAAACCACGGUCCAGACUUGGAAAGAGACCAGCCCAAGUUCACAUGGUCAUUUCCUGGCUGAACUCAGCUGUCGAAGGCAUUGAGUGAUUUAACACCUGGCUUUGUGGUCAGACUGCAGAAGCUGCUCCAUGGGCAUCCCUGUUACCUGAGGCUGCUCAUAGAGAGCCCGGCAGCCAGGACAGAGGUGCUGGGACUGUGUAUUAUCUAUGUUUAGCACCCACGGAGUAUGGCAGAGGUGGCUGGCUUGACAUGAAGCUUCUUAGAUAAUGACCAUAGAAUACUGAAAAUGUCCUUUUGGGUUUUGGCUGAAUAAUACUUAAGGAUUUUGAAACAGUGCCUUAAUUGUGUUUUUAUGUAAUUGAUGAUAUUGUGGUAAAAUGUAUUGAGACACCACAUCAGCAUUUUUAUAACUGUUCCUUGGAGAAAAAUAUGCUCAUAUGAAACUGUUUUCUUCACUUUACUCUUAUGGAAUUGGAAAAAAAAAUCAUUGUGCUUCCAUGGAAUCACUGUGCCCAGAGAUUCUCUAAUUUUAAAGUGUCUUCCCCUCCGGACUUGGCCUAAAUUACACAAGGAUGCCUCGCCUAAGUUGGGUUGUCCCUUGUUUGGGAAGUGAUGGGAGUACAGGGCAAGGGCCUGUUGUGUCGGGAAGUUGGUGCAAAAUGCUGUCCGGGCAGAUUUCAGGGAAGUUCUUAUGCUGACAGGUCAGCGUGCCACAGGCCAAAGGAGGCCUUGAGGCUUGGAACCCCGGCUGCAGCCACUUCUCGACUAGGCUUCAUGCAUCUACCGACUGCUCUGGGUUUGGAAGGGAUUCGAAAGAAAGUGCUCCCCAUUGUUACACAGGAAUAGCUUCAGUUCCCAGAAGUUGCAUCUGAACUCAAAGCCCUCAUACUUUUAUGUUGGCAUCAGAUAAAUCAGAGCAUUUAAAUAAAUUAUAUAGUUUUCCUAUCUUGGCUCAAUGUUUGCAUGUUGAGGGGAGUUUAAGCCAAUUGUAAAACUUAAUUUUGAUCCAAAUCUUGCUACCUGAUGUUUCAUUCUGAAGAGUCAAAUUGUAAAUAUUAAAAAUAAAAAUUUAGACAGUUGCUUUCUAAUUAUGGAAAACUCACAGGUCUACUGAAUUAAAAAAUAAUAGUAAUGCUUUAAAAGCACCAUUGGCUGCCUUCCUAGUGGCUUGGCUCUCAUGCACUGCUUACAGUAGGCCCAUGGUGUAUGCACAGGCUCAGGGGGCCUGCCGGGGCAAGCUGAUGCCAAGCCAGAGAGCUGGCCUCAAAUUGUGUGCUUCAGAGCUGUUCUCCUCCUGGGUGUGGUUGUGACAGCCCUCCUCGUUUCUGAACCCUAGACCCUUGUGGUCCCCACAGUGAGCACAGCCCCACCUGGAGCGUGCUGCCUGCAGUUGCUCCUGCAGUGUUUGCAGAAGUCACCCAGGGAAAACACAACAGCAUCUCCAGGCACCUGUGUGUGGUGUGUGUGCGUGGAGGGGAUACACAGUUUCAGGGACAUAACAGCACUUUAGCCCUCACUCUUUGAGAGAAACGCUUUUCCACAGUGUGCGACAGUACGGGGAGGUUGCUGGGGACUGUUUUCCAUGCCCCAGUGUGUCCGUUGGGCAGCAGCCAGGCUCUUCCUGUGGUUUGAAUAUGGACAUUUCUUAGGGCUCAUCACGGGUCUACUAAUGUGAAGUCAUCUGGGUAUUAUUCAUAAGCCAAGUGCACCUCUCUGAGAGCAGAGAUAAAUCUAAUGCUUCCACUUUGUAGAGUUGUUUGACAUUGAACCCUUGUAGAGGUGAAAAACAAACAAAAAGUCAAGAAAAAAAAACACAAAAAGAAACUGUGCAUUGACAGAAUUCUGCUGUCUUUUUACUUAAAUGAUAAAGCUCAUGUGUCUUUAUAACUGAAAUAAAAUAUAAUGAACCUAUGUAUAAGCGCUCAUCAUUGAAUCAUAGUAUUUUUUCCCCUAAGUUUUAAAACAUUCCAAGUCAUUGAAUAGUGAAGAUUGCCACAUGCUUGCAGUGGAGCCUCAUGAUUUUGCUCUACUCCACAGAGCUGAGGAUGGAUGGUGGCUGUGUGCUGAUGGGCUGAGGUGGGCAACGAGCUCCCUGCUGGGAGAGAGGACCUGGCCCUUGGCUUCUGGGACUGUGCAUAGUCAUCCCUUUGGGUUAACUCAGUAUUUGCUAGCAAAAGGCUUAUUUAAAACAAUUUCCAUGGAAGAAAAUGCUCCCGACUCUAAUGUUGCAUGAAAAAAGGUUGCCAAAUGCGGUAUAAACCCGACACACACACAUACACACACAUGCCCAUGUGAUAAUAGAGAAAAAGGAUUAAGUACCUCAAAAUUAAAGUCAUCUUUUUUCUUUGUUAUCCUUUUUUUAUAUGCCUUUCUUUAUUUUCUAAAUUUUCAGUAGACAUAUAUCAUAACUUUUAGACCUGAUAUUGAUGCUGUCUUGUGUCACAUACUUUUGUGGCCAAGCAGAAGGAAGGUGAUUAAUUAGUUUCAUUCAUUCACUUAAUUAAUUAAUUCACAAAUUAAGAAAUUCUUUUUCUCCUGGCUUCAACUUCUUGCACAUUCUCUCUCCCUCCCUCCUGUCCUCCCUCUCUCUCUUUCUCAAUCUCUCUCUAUCCAUCUCUUAUACACACACACACACAACUUAGAGCAAAAGCUCUACUUCCCACAUUGGCCUGCUCUUAUGGAUAUCAAGAGGUGAGGCAUUAAAUAGUCUGCACUGGUUGGUCUUCACCUGGCUACCUGUAGUCAGGACCCUUGAGUUUACCAGACCUGAGUGUUUUAACACCUCCUGGUACAAGUGGGUUUCCAUGCAGUUCCAAGCACAGCUUGAGUCUCCAAAUUAAGCUCUGUAAAGAUUACCAGAAAUAUACUCACAAGGUGGAAAGUUUAAAAACAAAAUAACCUUAGAAAGGCCUCUGGGGCGUGUCAGUAGCAAAUCAUUUGAUGAUCCCAUUGAGCAUGUCCAAGGGGUGCUGUAACGUUAGAAGUGGAGCUGGGGCAUGGAGGCCUUGCGUGGUGUCCAGCCCUGAGCAGGGUCCUUUGCCCAGGAGCACCAUUGUUACUUAUCUUACACGGGACUGAUUUGUGAGAUUCAGUGGAUUACCUUAGACUAUAAGGACCUAGAGCGAGAAGGGAGGGCCUUUAAAAGAAAACGUGAAAAUAUUCUUAUUUUGCUUGUAUGUGUUGCUGUCAUCCUUCAACACCAACACCAUUUUUACAUUCUUUAUGUAUUGAGAAGUGUAAAACAAUACAUUGACACUUGCCAAGUUACCAAGUUAUGAUUUUAAAAUCUUGAGGCUGAAAUUCACCUUUUUGGAGGUUGUAUCAUGAGACUGCCUGGUGGGGUGGCCUGUCUUAACACCUGCUAAACCAUCUCAACCAGCCCUUAGGGAAGGGAACUCAGCCUUCUUCACCCAUGCCAGAGGUUCAGCUCUGCCCAGGACUUAGUAACAUCCUACAACCAGAGAUAAAAACAUUCCCCAAGGUGCCCGUGAAUGCCCGGAUCUGCAGCUGAGCCAUUCCUUCUUAGUCCAGUGUGCCAAAAGUCAGGGAGAUAUCAGCCUCCUGGCACUGCCUUCCUUUAGCCAGAUGUACUGUAGACUUGCCUCCUACAGCCACAUGUCAUCAGCACAGUCUCUUGGACUGCACCUAGCCAUGUCCUAAUUACAAUGACCUGCAAAGGCUUAGGUCAGGGGAGAGGUCAGUUAUUCAGUCAUCCUGAGCCAGUGACCCCUCCCCAGAAGGGCAGGUGAGGAAAUGUAGCCCCCAAUUCAAGAACAGUUGCAGAAACUGUCCCUGGCAGGGGGGCUUAGAGCACAAAGCAGAUCUAUCACACCAGGUGACACCAGCUCUCAGACAGCUUAUGACCAGCACAUCUUAUUUUUUUUUUAAGGUUAACUAAUACUCACACAGUGGAAUAUUACAGAGCAGUAAAAAUGACAGAGCCCCAAGUACAUGUGACAGGAGGGAUAGAUCUUAGAAACAUACUGUAAGUGGAUGAAGCAGGUCUAGGAAGGCUUCAUCAGGCUGCAGUCAUAGCUAGCACUAAAUUGGGCUUGUUUGGGGCACACACAUUUUAUCCAGGGUGCCUGCCUGAUGGGGGUGCCAGGGGUAAUGUGAUUCUCAGGGAGGGUCCUGCUUCACUGGUGUUUCUUUUGUUAAUUACACUUAAGAACCUAUGUGUAUAUAUAUAAAUAUAUAUAUAUAUAAUGUGGACUUUUGUAUGUAUUUCAAUCUUACAUGAGAAAAUGAUUCUGGGCGUGUCCUUGCUGGUCAUUAAGAUCAUUUCCAGCUCUUAGCUGGAUCUUUGAGCCACACUGACACAAUUGUGUUUCAGUUUAGGGAGAUUUGGCAAGAAGCUACCCAUCACUUCUAUGAGGUUUUUCUUGGGGGAGAGUGUUAGAAGCCACGGGGCCACCACCGGUUGCUCUGAGGCCAUCUUUGCAGGAGCCCGCACAGGCCACUCUGUGGUGUAGCGGCCUUCCUCCCCUCCUCGGCUGACUUUGUGCCCCUUGUUUCAAGGGCUGUUGUGGUUCUGAAGGUGAGAAAGUGUUUUGUUCUUGCUGUUGUUACUGUCAGGGUGGCUGUUUUCCCCAUUUCAAAGUUCCCUGGGUAGAAACUUUCUCUCUGCCUCGUGGUGCUUUGAGGGGCCUUUAGCCCAUGGCAGGCGAGCCGUGGUGUCCUUGGGCCUGGCUCCCUCACCCCUGUGGGGACAUCAGACUGCUGCACAGGUGGUCUUCUGUGCCUCAGGUGAGAGAAGUCAGGUUAGGAGGCCCGCAUGACAGUUUGUACGCUCACAUUGAGGCUUUUCUGUUUUCACUUCUUUGUGUGGUUUCCUUGUACCUCACUGCAUGAUUUUCAUACAUCUGUAUAUGUAUUUCUAAUUCCCAAUGAAACCUUUAAAAUAUUUAUUGGAAACACUGAUUUAUGUGCAAAAUUCUUAAAGAAUACAAAAAAUUAUUUCCUGUAGUUUUGGUUAGCAGCCUUUUGUGUUUAUAGCCUUCUUUUAUCUGCAGCGGAGCUGGGGGCUCGUGGCAGCUGCUGUCGACGAUGGCUUAGCGUUGCUAAGUUGUUUGGUGGCAAUCCACACUUUCCCUAAGUCCUGUUGUUCUUUUUCUUUAGGGGAAUGGAUUAUGUGACUUUUAACGGGACUGUUUGGAUGCAUGCUUUUAUAUCCAGACCUAUUCACCCAGGAAAAGCAACUCCUCAGGUCGCUAGUAUCAGACUCCUGAGACCAUUGAAGAGACUGAGCUGAAAUUAAUUAGAUGCAUUUAACCAUGGCACCAGGCUGGUGGGAAUGUCCACAGCCGUGGGAGGGACCCGCAAGGAGGCACCAGAGAUGCUAUAAAGCCCUACUCUUGGGAGUAGGUGUUUGCUACAGUAUUGGUGUGAUGAUCGUUUCCUUCUGAUAAUGGAGUUUUAUCAUUUAGAGAUGGCAAGUUAAGAUACUUUUAUUGAAUGAACUUCCUGCUAAGUUUCUGAGCCAUGGUUGGGUUUAUGACAUAAUUGCUCUACAUGUUGAUACCAUCUUUUAUCAUAAUUGUUUUUCAUUGUUUUUAAUAAAGGGAUAAAAAUAAUAGGAGACAUUUUAGAAAGUGGGUUUUUUUUUGUUCUAUUAUUCAUGAUACUAAAAAUUACCCAAAAUAAGAUUUUUUACAAAAAAGGAUUUUGUUCCAAAAGUGACUAAUUUAAAUCAGUUUAUACAAUGAACUUGCUAAUGAUCCUCAGUCUAGAGGACUGUAAUGCUUUUAUACUGUUAUCAUUUUUUAUGAAUAGAAUUAUACAAAAAAGUUCCUAUUGUGUUGUACAGUGAGUUUCACACAACCAUCCUUUAUCAACAGAUGGCAACCAGCACAUGAAAAAUAAUUAAAAAAUAAAAUGAAAAGAAACCGAGAAUGAAUUAAAGUGCUUCUUUGCGUUCUGAUCUGCAUUUUUGGUUUAGAAUUUUUAUGGUGAAUUGCCAUAUUAUCUGUUAUAUCAGUUUACAAUGAGGCUCCUAUCAGACAUAAAACAGAUUUAUAAUACCAUUAAAAUACAAUAUCAAAGAAUGAAUAAGCAAUUCAAUAAAAUUACAAUAACACAAAGAUAAAAUGAAAGCCUUUUCAAUAACAGUUUUAUGCAAGAACAUUUUGCAGAUAAAUAUGUGUUUAUAGAUCUUUUAAAUGUACAUUUAUUAUACUGUUCCUAAUAGAGCCACAGGGGUUAAUUUUUCCUGUGUGUUGUCUUUUAUAAGUGGUUUAAAAGCUAGCUGCAAAACUCUUCAAUAGAUUGUUUUGAAUCUUUGAAUUGAUUUUGGUAAAGGGAGCUUUUACAGUCCUGCAGCGGAACGUUCACACGCAAAUGAGUCAAUAUGGCUGGAACCCCCUGCCAGCGAGGGCUGGGGGCGCCCCUGCCGUGGGGAACCGGACGUGAAAAAGACACGGAGGAAAAAGUUUAGAAAUUAAGUUGGAUUGUGUGGGCCUCCCACCCCGGAUGUUUAGGUCUGAUUUCCGGAAGGAAAGUUUGAAAAAAAAAAAAGAGAAAGCCGAGGAUGACAAGUCACCCUUGUCGGGAGUAACGGGGUAGGCAGUGGGUCUGGCCGCAGCAGCUGCUGUCCCCGCGCAAGACGCAGGCGGCGGAAGCACAGGCUGCCGUUGCCGCCCGCCCGUGAAGCUGUGCUCUGCACUCUGUGUCCUGCUGCUUUCCCCACACCUGGCUUGUGCGUCUUAAUUAUGCAUCCUGUUUACUUCCUUUGUCUUUAAUUUUAGCAGGGAGCUCCUCAGGCCUUCUGUGAUCCUUGCCAUGCUCGGCCAGUAGGGUCAGUGUGGCAGGAAAUGUGGGGGAAAGGGUGUGAGGUGAGGACCAGGAGCCAGUACAGGCAGGUCUGUACUGAAUCCCUGGCAGGGCCUGGGUAGUGGGGUGAAGCCAGUGUUCCCCUUUUUGUCUCCAUCCAUAGUAUGCAUCAUUAAGGGUCCCAUCAUCUGGAGGGGGCUGAGGCCAGUCCUCACACCCUGGCCCUGGUGUGGUUUGGCUUGGAACAGCUGCCCUGCAUGGCUGGGGGUUUGAACUGCAGGAUAUCUGUACUUUAUGCUUCCCUCUUGGGAAGCUGGCUGAUCUGGGCUCUGGCUGGGGCCAGGGGGAUGCCCAGAAAGGUGGAGGGGAAGCUAAUAUAAGAAAAACAGGUUGGAUUUUGUUGACAGGUGAAAAAAAUUCUGCGAAGGGAAUUUUGUCCCCAGAAAAAAGUCUCCAAGACUAAAUUUAAACUCCUGUGGUCCUUUCUUUGUUGUAAUUCCUCUGCAAAUCACUGGCAUCAUCUUUUUCCAGAAUGAUAGAAGGUGCCAGGCUCUUAUAGAUUGCCUAAUAUACUGUAGGUAAUAUUGGUUGCAGUAGAAAAUAACAGCAAGUGGAGAAUAUUUGGCUGGAGCAUAUGUGACUGAAAAAUUGAGAAACAAAAUGGGAAAAUGACUAGAAAGAGUCUUCAGUGGCACAGCUUACAGUGUUUGAGGUGGGGUGUGUGAGUAGGGGAUGGCCUUUCUCUCUGCCUGUCUCCCACCCUGGCCUUCAACACCCAAGGGGGAAAACAGACACUUUCAUGUUUCCUCUCCUUUCCCCUAUGAAAAUUUAGAAUUUUGCAUUUUUACU
Manis pentadactyla (Chinese pangolin) is the source of this 11578-nucleotide RNA transcript. It is a transcript of the gene named teashirt zinc finger homeobox 3, with no coding region annotated. NCBI's taxonomy places the organism in Eukaryota, Metazoa, Chordata, Mammalia, Pholidota, Manidae. The record is from RefSeq and is a predicted model, not a curated record. The transcript has 3 exons.